RNAcentral lists this ribosomal RNA (497 nucleotides) under uncultured bacterium. RNAcentral's name for it is "partial 16S ribosomal RNA". It matches the Rfam family "Bacterial small subunit ribosomal RNA", at positions 28 to 507 of the family's 1533-position model. The record is from RNAcentral.
GAUGAACGCUGGCGGCGUGCCUAAUACAUGCAAGUCGAGCGAACAGACGAGGAGCUUGCUCCUCUGACGUUAGCGGCGGACGGGUGAGUAACACGUGGAUAACCUACCUAUAAGACUGGGAUAACUUCGGGAAACCGGAGCUAAUACCGGAUAAUAUAUUGAACCGCAUGGUUCAAUAGUGAAAGACGGUUUUGCUGUCACUUAUAGAUGGAUCCGCGCCGCAUUAGCUAGUUGGUAAGGUAACGGCCUACCAAGGCAACGAUGCGUAGCCGACCUGAGAGGGUGAUCGGCCACACUGGAACUGAGACACGGUCCAGACUCCUACGGGAGGCAGCAGUAGAGAAUCUUCCGCAAUGGGCGAAAGCUUGACGGAGCAACGCCGCGUGAGUGAUGAAAGUCUUCGGAUCGUAAAACUCUGUUAUUAGGGAAGAACAAAUGUGUAAGUAACUAUGCACGUCUUGACGGUACCUAAUCAGAAAGCCACGGCUAACUACGUG